UGGGGAAUCUUGCGCAAUGGGCGAAAGCCUGACGCAGCGACGCCGCGUGCGGGAAGAAGGCCUUCGGGUUGUAAACCGCUUUCAGGAGGGACGAAGCCACUCGGGUUAAUAGCCCAGAGGGUGACGGUACCUCCAGAAGAAGCCCCGGCUAACUACGUGCCAGCAGCCGCGGUAAUACGUAGGGGGCAAGCGUUGUCCGGAUUUAUUGGGCGUAAAGCGCGUGUAGGCGGCCAGGUAAGUCGGCUGUGAAAAACUCGAGGCUCAACCUCGAGAUGUCGGCCGAAACUAUCUGGCUAGAGUCCGGAAGAGGAGAAUGGAAUUCCCGGUGUAGCGGUGAAAAUGCGCAGAUAUCGGGAAGAACACCCGUGGCGAAAGGCGGUUCUCUGGGACGGUACUGACGCUGAGACGCGAAAAGCGUGGGGAGCGAACAGGAUUAGAUACCCUGGUAGUCCACGCCGUAAACGAUGGGAACUAGGUGUGGCGGUGUCGACUCCGUCCGUGCCCGAAGCUAAACGCAUUAAGUUCCCCGCCG
Molecule: ribosomal RNA, 532 nt
Filed under: uncultured Actinomycetes bacterium
Lineage: Bacteria; Bacillati; Actinomycetota; Actinomycetes
Description: bacterial SSU rRNA
Rfam family: Bacterial small subunit ribosomal RNA
Source: RNAcentral